Molecule: small RNA, 283 nt
Filed under: Pan troglodytes (chimpanzee)
Lineage: Eukaryota; Metazoa; Chordata; Mammalia; Primates; Hominidae
Description: processed transcript
Source: RNAcentral
UGACUGUAAGCUGUGAUCUCAGUAUACAAAGCGUGACUGAAGCAGCAGCCUGCACAUGUGGAUGGUCAUCAGUGCCUCGCCCAGAGAUGCCUGGCCUUCAUCCAAAGGGACCCUGCUGCCACAAGUCCUCCAGGCAGCACCCGCGCACUGUGGCUCCUUCGCACUGAGUAUGUUGGACUCUGCCAUAGACUGACCCUCUUGUCUGGCUGCUGCAGUUUGUCUGUAAUGCCCUGACAUGUUGCAUUCUCCCCAUUUGGAUAAAUAAAAACAAAUGCUUCUGUCA